This 650-nucleotide ribosomal RNA is filed under the name uncultured Archaeorhizomycetes. RNAcentral describes it as "eukaryotic LSU rRNA". It matches the Rfam family "Eukaryotic large subunit ribosomal RNA", at positions 1 to 590 of the family's 3401-position model. Lineage: Eukaryota; Fungi; Ascomycota; Archaeorhizomycetes. The record is from RNAcentral.
UUUCACAGAGCGGACGGGAUCCUUAUGGACUGACCGUUUUGUGGCCGGAGUUUAACUCUGACUUGACCUCAGAUCAGGUAGGGAUACCGCCUGAACUUAAGCAUAUCAAUAAGGCGAGGAACAGAAACCAACCGGGAUUCCCCCAGUAGUGGCGAAUGAAGCGGGAAAAGCUCAAGUUUGAAAUCCGGCGGGCAACCUCCGGAGUUGUAAGCUGAUGAGGUAUCGACCGACAUGGUCCGGGCCCAAUUUCCUUGGAACAGGAGGUCAUGGAGGGUGAGAACCCCGUCCGUGGCUCGGGUGCCAUUGUCCCUGUGUCGUGCCCUCUAAGAGUCGGGUUGUUUGGGAAUGCAGCUCAAAAUGGGUGGUAAAUUUCAUCUAAAGCUAAAUAUUGGCGAGAGACCGAUAGCAAACAAGCAGAGUGAUCGAAAGAUGAAAAGUACUUUGAAAAGAGAGUGAAACAGUACGUGAAAUUGUUGAAAGGGAAGCGUUUGGCAUCAGCCCUUGGCGUCCGUCGAACAUCCAGGCUUCUGUCUGGUGUACUCGUCGGCCGUCGGGCCAGCGUCGGCUCUGCCCGUCGGAGAAAGGCCUGAGGGAUGUGGCUCACCUUCGGGGGAGCGUUAUAACCUCGGGUGUCAUGCGAUGUGGUGGGG